Molecule: ribosomal RNA, 450 nt
Filed under: uncultured Glomeromycotina
Lineage: Eukaryota; Fungi; Glomeromycota
Description: SSU rRNA
Rfam family: Eukaryotic small subunit ribosomal RNA
Source: RNAcentral
AGCAGCCGCGGUAAUUCCAGCUCCAAUAGCGUAUAUUAAAGUUGUUGCAGUUAAAAAGCUCGUAGUUGAAUUUCGGGAUCAGUACGCUGGUCAUGCCUUUGGUAUGCACUGGUGUCACUGGUUUCUCCCUUCUGAAGAUCCGUGAUGUCAUUAAUUUGGUGUCGCGGGGAAUCAGGACUGUUACUUUGAAAAAAUUAGAGUGUUUAAAGCAGGCUCACGCUUGAAUACAUUAGCAUGGAAUAAUGAAAUAGGACGUUUGACCCUAUUUUGUGGUUUCUAGGAUCGACGUAAUGAUUAAUAGGGAUAGUUGGGGGCAUUAGUAUUCAAUUGUCAGAGGUGAAAUUCUUGGAUUUAUUGAAGACUAACUACUGCGAAAGCAUUUGCCAAGGAUGUUUUCAUUAAUCAAGAACGAAGUUAGGGAUCGAAGACGAUCAGAUACCGUCGUAGUCU